AGCGUAGGCGGCGCGGUAAGUCAGAUGUGAAAUCCCGGGGCUCAACCCCGGAACUGCAUCCGAUACUGCCGUGCUAGAGGAUUGGAGAGGUAGCUGGAAUUCUUGGUGUAGCAGUGAAAUGCGUAGAGAUCAAGAGGAACACUCGUGGCGAAAGCGAGCUACUGGACAAUUCCUGACGCUGAGGCUCGAAGGCUAGGGUAGCGAAAG
This 207-nucleotide ribosomal RNA is filed under the name uncultured bacterium. RNAcentral describes it as "partial 16S ribosomal RNA". It matches the Rfam family "Bacterial small subunit ribosomal RNA", at positions 568 to 774 of the family's 1533-position model. The record is from RNAcentral.